UACGGGGGGGGCAAGCGUUGUUCGGAAUUACUGGGCGUAAAGGGCGCGUAGGCGGCCUUCUAAGUCGGACGUGAAAUCCCCCGGCUCAACCGGGGAACUGCGUCCGAUACUGGAGGGCUUGAAUCCGGGAGAGGGAUGUGGAAUUCCAGGUGUAGCGGUGAAAUGCGUAGAUAUCUGGAGGAACACCGGUGGCGAAGGCGGCAUCCUGGACCGGCAUUGACGCUGAGGCGCGAAAGCCAGGGGAGCAAACGGG
Molecule: ribosomal RNA, 253 nt
Filed under: uncultured bacterium
Lineage: Bacteria
Description: partial 16S ribosomal RNA
Rfam family: Bacterial small subunit ribosomal RNA
Source: RNAcentral